AACGAACGCUGGCGGCAUGCCUAACACAUGCAAGUCGAACGAGACCUUCGGGUCUAGUGGCGCACGGGUGCGUAACGCGUGGGAAUCUGCCCUUGGGUUCGGAAUAACAGUUGGAAACGACUGCUAAUACCGGAUGAUGACGUAAGUCCAAAGAUUUAUCGCCCAAGGAUGAGCCCGCGUAGGAUUAGCUAGUUGGUGAGGUAAAGGCUCACCAAGGCGACGAUCCUUAGCUGGUCUGAGAGGAUGAUCAGCCACACUGGGACUGAGACACGGCCCAGACUCCUACGGGAGGCAGCAGUGGGGAAUAUUGGACAAUGGGCGAAAGCCUGAUCCAGCAAUGCCGCGUGAGUGAUGAAGGCCUUAGGGUUGUAAAGCUCUUUUACCCGGGAUGAUAAUGACAGUACCGGGAGAAUAAGCACCGGCUAACUCCGUG
This 433-nucleotide ribosomal RNA is filed under the name uncultured bacterium. Its description in RNAcentral is "partial 16S ribosomal RNA". It matches the Rfam family "Bacterial small subunit ribosomal RNA", at positions 29 to 507 of the family's 1533-position model. The record is from RNAcentral.